RNAcentral lists this long non-coding RNA (590 nucleotides) under Arabidopsis thaliana (thale cress). Its description in RNAcentral is "long non-coding RNA (ATHA_LNC000598)". Lineage: Eukaryota; Viridiplantae; Streptophyta; Magnoliopsida; Brassicales; Brassicaceae. The record is from RNAcentral.
ACAGGACUGGUACAACCCAGGAUCUAUGGGAAAACAGUACUUCUUGGGGUUAGAGAAGGGUUUGGCCGGUUCAGGUAACCCGGCUUACCCCGGUGGACCUUUCUUCAACCCUCUUGGGUUUGGGAAAGAUGAGAAGUCACUGAAGGAGUUGAAACUCAAGGAGGUCAAGAACGGUAGACUGGCUAUGCUCGCCAUCCUCGGUUACUUUAUCCAAGGACUAGUGACCGGUGUGGGACCUUAUCAGAACCUGCUUGAUCACUUGGCUGAUCCCGUCAACAACAACGUCUUGACCAGCCUCAAGUUCCACUGAGGUGAUCAUCAUCUCAUGUGUUUUUAUGUCUCUUGUAUCGUACAAUAUUUCCAUCUUUCGCUACCAUUGGCUUCUUCGUAUUGUAACACCCUGUGUAAACAUAUUCGUGUUUUGUAAGAAAUGACAAUGUCAAUGGCCAAACGAAAAAACUUUUAGGAUUAACAGUUGGCAUUUGCAAACCAAACAAAGCGGUUAGUAUAUUCAAAGAAUGUUAUGAAAUACUGUACCUGUUAUGCUUUAAAAGUAGUCUCAUCUUAUCACUCUGUAUCUCCCAAACCAC